GCUGAAUUUAAAAAUGUACUUAGAUUUUUUAAUUAUUGGCCUAGUUUUCAAGUUGGUCCAAAUGGGGGUCCAAAAUUAAACUUUGUUUGAUUUCAUCAAAAAUUGAAUAAAUGGGUUCUUUGAUAUGCCAAAUCUAACUGUGUAUGUAGAUUCUUAAUUUUUGGUCCAGUUUUCAAAUUGGUCUACAUUAAGGUCCAAAGGGUCCAAAAUUAAACUAAGUUUGAUUUUAACAAAAAUUAAACUAUUGGGCUUAUUUGAUAUGCUUUAUCUAAACAUGUACUUUGAUUUUUGAUUAUGGGGCCCAGUUUUCAAGUUGGUCCAAAUCAGGAUUCCAUAUCAAGUAUUGUGCAAUAGCAAGAAAUUUUCAAUUGCACAGUAUUGCACAACAGCAAGAAAUAUCUAAUUGCACAAUAUUGUGCAAUAGCAAUUAAUUUUCAAUUGGAGUUAUCUUUCUUUGUAUAGAAUAGUAGUUGAUAAUAUAUGUUGGAAAUUUUCCAG
This 498-nucleotide long non-coding RNA is filed under the name Mytilus galloprovincialis (Mediterranean mussel). The record is from RNAcentral. Lineage: Eukaryota; Metazoa; Mollusca; Bivalvia; Mytilida; Mytilidae.